Molecule: long non-coding RNA, 2705 nt
Filed under: Nicotiana tabacum (common tobacco)
Lineage: Eukaryota; Viridiplantae; Streptophyta; Magnoliopsida; Solanales; Solanaceae
Description: long non-coding RNA (NTAB_LNC016633)
Source: RNAcentral
UGAAGGCCUGACGGCCUCUUCUGCCGAUCCUACCAGCUGUGGUGCCUAUACUGCUGCACAUCCUUACAUAUAGAGGUGGCUUGAUGAUGAUGAUCCAGAUAGUGUACUCGGGCGACAGGGGAUGCGACUUAGGCCAGCAGCAGCACUGAAACACACAUGCCGCGGGACACAUUGAUUUACUUAUGUUUUUACUUUGUGUAAAUAGUACAUUAUGUAAAUAAUGGUAACAAUUAUGUUUUAGAAACAAUUUUAUUUUAACUGCGUUUGAACAACAAUUUUACUUUAACAGUACAACACAAACACAAACCUUGCAAACCUAACACAAAAACAAACAGUAGAACUAAUGAAAACACUUGACAAAGGAAACAUAAAGAUACACUACACCGCUCAACACGUACAUGCCAUUGUUUAGUCACUACCGCCUAGUAUUCUCUACUCCAACCACUUGAGCUGGUCUUCCAGCUUUUUUUUUCUUCUUCGACCUCCUUGAGUUUCGCUUUCAACUCCGCAAUUUCUUGCUUGGAUUGGCGCUCUCUGUUCCGCUACCCCGUACACACAUUAUGAAGAUGAUACAACUUGUCUUUGUAGUAUUCUUGCUCACAUGGUUCAUCAAUCCACACCUUAAAAUUGCAUGUAGGUACGUCGGGUAGACUAUAAAACUUGUUCAUACACGCCUAGUAGCGGCGUCCGGCUUCUUCCCAACAAUCGUACACCAUGCUUUUGGUUCCGCAGUCGCACCUUGGGAAAUAAAGGGGUUGUUGAGACAUUUCUUAAAGAGAAACUUUGGUUUUAUGGAAAUAUUUGCUAUAGGUUGUUGUUAAGCGCAGAAAAUAACUAGAAUGCGCUCGUUAUUUAUAGGCAAGAUUUCACAUAAAAUGUAGUAUUAUACCACGCUUUACAUAUUAAAUUUCACUGAAACGAAACUGUUUUUUCACAUGGUUUUCAGCUUUUUCAGAACGACAAGAAAACUCAAUAAAACAUAGUAUUAUACCUUUCACACCUCCUUUUUCACUACACCCCGAAAGGUAUAAAGGAGUUUUUUCCAAAUUAAAGUGACAAUCGAAACAGGACUUAUUUUAUUACAAGUUCAGAGUCGCCACUUGGGAUAGUUUUACGGUGUCCCAAAUUACCGGUUAAAAUCCCGAAUCGAGGAAAAGAUUGACUCUGUAUUACAGUCCGCGAACACAGAAAUCCGGGUAAGGAAUUCUAUUAACCUGGGAGAAGGUGUUAGGCAUUCCCGGAUUCCGUGGUUCUAGCACGGUCGCUCAACUAUUAUAGUUGGCAUAUUAUCUGAUUUUAAUACAUCUUUGAAACUUAUGUACAUUUUAACUUUAAACCCGCUUUUAUAUUUUUUUGUGAAAAAUCAAGGUUAUUUAAAACACAUCGUAAGCCACACUACAUGAAAUGCACCCGCGGUUCACGAUACGCUUUAUUUAACCUUGUUAGAAAUUGGAGUCGGGUCACAUGAAAUGCUCACCCGAGCCUCUUUAAUCUAAUUUGACGUAGUUCAGUUGAUGAAUAACAACCCAAUUUCUAUACUGUGACAAAAUCAUGUUCAGUUAUAACCAAUUCGAGUAAACACAAACAGAUAACCAAGCAAGCAAAUUCAAAACCACGGAGAAUAUUUACAGAAAUAACGGGAUUGCAUCACCAAACAAAUAAUUAACAUCAAGCUCGAAUAAAACAAAUAGAGUAUGAAAGAGUUGACCUUAUUAUAGCCGGAAAAUUGAUCGUUUCACUAUUUUGAACUCAUAAAUGUGACCGUAGACGGACCUCGACUUAGCACCGCAAAACUCAAACAAACCCGGAUUCAACACCAAACGAGCUCAACCAAUGAACUUCCGACAUUAAAACUCCAACUCAGUUUCUAUUUUGAUUUUGCUCUUUUCGAAAUGAAAUUAAAUCAAUAGGAACCAGCAGAAAGGAACCAGCAAAUCAGUUGUCAUCGCGUAGAUACAAAGAGACAUAAAAACGGCUACUUAUGCAAAAUCAACAGAAAGAGAAAAGAAGAAGCCAAUAGAACAGAAUAAGGUGAGCUCUCUUCAAUUAAAAUUUCCCUCUGAGCAGUAUACACAAGCAAAAAGGAAACCAUGACCAACUCUUUCACUAUGUGAAAAUCAGCAAGUACAAAGGAAUCUGGUAAUGAAAAUUUGAACGAAAACAGCGACAAAUCGCUACAGGGACUUGAACCAACAAAACUCGACUCCGACUAACACCUUAGAUAGGAAACCGAAUCGAAAAUCAGAAGAAAACCAGAAGUUGACAUGAAAAUUGAAAGGAUUGAGUUCGAAAUCAGAAUGAAAUAAAAGACGUUCGUUCACCUCCCCUGUUCUCAUUGUCCGCUUUGUGUGUUCCGAGGAAGCCGAGUCCUUGUUUUUGGGGUCUAGGUUUGCUGUUCUCUUCUUCAGUAAGAGUGAGAUAUGGGAGAUGGGAGCUUGGCGAAGGUGAGCAGGGGUGUGCGUUCAACAACUGGUCUUGAAUGGUCGACCAGACCCACCGGUGAUCAAAUCCGGCGAUUGGUUAGGGAAGCUUAGGGAGUUCGACCAUCUGCUUCGGAGAUGAUGAUAAGGAUGUGGCUAUGGAGGAAUUAAGGGUGGCUCUUUGGCGUGGAGGUCCAGAGGUGAUCAGCGGCUGGUGGCCGACUGAUGUUCCGCCGGUGAUGAGGAAAAGAGGGGGUCGUUUGGAGAAGAUAAGGUCAGGAGGUA